Podarcis lilfordi (Lilford's wall lizard) is the source of this 70-nucleotide non-coding RNA. The record is from the annotation of a GenBank genome assembly. NCBI's taxonomy places the organism in Eukaryota, Metazoa, Chordata, Lepidosauria, Squamata, Lacertidae.
GCUUAGCUCAGUGGGUUAGAGCAUGGUGCUGAUAAUGCCAAGAUUGCAGGUUCGAUCCCCAUAUGGGACA